GAGUUACAGAUGGUUGUCACAGGGCCAGCAUGUGGGUGCUGGGAACCGAUCCCAGAUUAUUUGUAAGAGUAACGAGGCCGUUCCUUGACUUCCACAGGCUUCAGCAGCUCCUUUCUGUCUAGAGAGUGCAUUCCUUAUAUCAGACUCAGGAGGCGACACCAGAGCUCCGUGGUGUGUCUUUCUGCUAUGAAGCAGUUCUUCUCCAGAACAUACCAGCUGAGUCCUGCAGAUGCCCCCAUGUGCCUCCAGCACGUUGUGACCAGAAGCUGAGGAACGACCGAACCCAG
RNAcentral lists this small RNA (287 nucleotides) under Rattus norvegicus (Norway rat). RNAcentral's name for it is "uncharacterized LOC103691617". Lineage: Eukaryota; Metazoa; Chordata; Mammalia; Rodentia; Muridae. The record is from RNAcentral.